This 380-nucleotide long non-coding RNA is filed under the name Mytilus galloprovincialis (Mediterranean mussel). Lineage: Eukaryota; Metazoa; Mollusca; Bivalvia; Mytilida; Mytilidae. The record is from RNAcentral.
GUGGAGAAGCUGCAAAUAUCAAUUGUAGUGUUUGGUUUUGACGGAGGUUUGAACUCACGAAUACCCGCACCUAUGCGGUAUCAGCCACAAAGGGCUGCAUGAACUAAUAUUAUAACUGCUUUAGAUGUUGACACGAGGACUAAAGCACAUACAUGUACAACGGGUUGUCUGAUGCGUCUGAAAAUUUUAGGGCAGAAAGAUCGUGAAAAGUUCAGCCACGAGAGUCUAAUACUGGCCGUGGAUAAGUUCUCGGAGAAGCCAGUCCCUAGUCCACCUUCUCCUCUGCCGUCAUCACAUCUACGUCUGUCAUUCAGUAGAUCGCCCACUGCCUGGUAUUUUGUGCCUUAUCAAUAUCCAAUUCCAGUCAAUUAAUUGCAAGC